GACGAACGUUGGCGGCGUGGAUUAGGCAUGCAAGUCGAACGAAUCCCAGGGUAGCAAUACCUUGGGGGAAGUGGCGAAAGGGGCAGUAAUGCAUGGGUAACCUACCUUGGGGAUGGGCAUAGCCGUUCUAACGAGCGGGUAAUUCCCAGCGAUCCGAUGAGGUGGCAUCUCCUUACCGGGAAAUGAGUUUCGCCUCGAGAGGGGCCCAUGUGCUAUUAGCUUGUUGGUGAGGUAACGGCUCACCAAGGCUUAGAUGGCUAGCGGGUGUGAGAGCACGACCCGCGCCACUGGCACUGUGACACUGGCCAGACACCUACGGGUGGCUGCAGUCGAGGAUCUUCGUCAAUGGGCGCAAGCCUGAACGAGCGACGCCGCGUGAGCGAUUGAAGGCCUUCGGGUUGUAAAGCUCAAAAGGGGGGAGAAAGGCGCAAGCUUGAUCGAUCCCCAGUAAGCACGGGCUAAGUUCGUGCCAGCCGCCG
This 479-nucleotide ribosomal RNA is filed under the name uncultured bacterium. Its description in RNAcentral is "bacterial SSU rRNA". It matches the Rfam family "Bacterial small subunit ribosomal RNA", at positions 28 to 517 of the family's 1533-position model. The record is from RNAcentral.